RNAcentral lists this ribosomal RNA (263 nucleotides) under Brevibacillus parabrevis. RNAcentral's name for it is "partial 16S rRNA". It matches the Rfam family "Bacterial small subunit ribosomal RNA", at positions 69 to 334 of the family's 1533-position model. Lineage: Bacteria; Bacillati; Bacillota; Bacilli; Caryophanales; Paenibacillaceae. The record is from RNAcentral.
AGGGUUUUCGGACCCUAGCGGCGGACGGGUGAGUAACACGUAGGCAACCUGCCUCUCAGACCGGGAUAACAUAGGGAAACUUAUGCUAAUACCGGAUAGGUUUUUGGAUUGCAUGAUCCGAAAAGAAAAGAUGGCUUCGGCUAUCACUGGGAGAUGGGCCUGCGGCGCAUUAGCUAGUUGGUGGGGUAACGGCCUACCAAGGCGACGAUGCGUAGCCGACCUGAGAGGGUGACCGGCCACACUGGGACUGAGACACGGCCCAG